RNAcentral lists this ribosomal RNA (257 nucleotides) under uncultured bacterium. RNAcentral describes it as "partial 16S ribosomal RNA". It matches the Rfam family "Bacterial small subunit ribosomal RNA", at positions 524 to 776 of the family's 1533-position model. The record is from RNAcentral.
UACGUAGGCAGCGAGCGUUGUUUCGGAGUUACUGGGCGUAAAGGGUGUGUAGGCGGUUGUUUAAGUUUGGUGUGAAAUCUCCCGGCUCAACUGGGAGGGUGCGCCGAAUACUGAGCGACUAGAGUGCGGGAGAGGAAAGUGGAAUUCCUGGUGUAGCGGUGAAAUGCGUAGAUAUCAGGAGGAACACCGGUGGUGUAGACGGCUUUCUGGGACCGUAACUGACGCUGAGGCACGAAAAGCGUGGGGUAGCAAACAGG